UAUAAAAAGCCGCGCCCGGGAGAAUUCAGCCCCGCCCCCGGGUUCCCUCCAGAAUAUAGUUUGAUCCUGGCUCCGGACGAACGCUGGCGGCGUGCUUAACACAUGCAAGUCGAACGAGACGAUUGAAAGCUUGCUUUUGAGAAUCGAGUGGCAAACGGGUGAGUAACGCGUAGACAACCUGCCUUUGAGAUGGGGACAACAGUCCGAAAGGACUGCUAAUACCGAAUGUUGUGGAACUUCCGCAUGGAAGCUCCAUCAAAGAUGACCUCUUCCUGAAAGUUAUCGCUCAAAGGUGGGUCUGCGUCUGAUUAGCUAGUUGGUGGGGCAACGGCCUACCAAGGCGACGAUCAGUAGCCGGUCUGAGAGGAUGAACGGCCACAUUGGAACUGAGACACGGUCCAGACUCCUACGGGAGGCAGCAGUGGGGAAUCUUCCGCAAUGGGCGAAAGCCUGACGGAGCAACGCCGCGUGAGUGAAGAAGGCCUUCGGGUCGUAAAGCUCUGUUGUCGGGGACGAAUGUAGCGCUUAUCAACAACGAGUGCUAAUGACGGUACCUGACGAGGAAGCCACGGCUAACUACGUGCCAGCAGCCGCGGUAAUACGUAGGUGGCGAGCGUUGUCCGGAAUUAUUGGGCGUAAAGGGAGCGCAGGCGGGAGGCCAAGUCCAUCCUAAAAGUUCGGGGCUCAACCCCGUGAGGGGAUGGAAACUGGUCUUCUUGAGUGCAGGAGAGGAAAGCGGAAUUCCUAGUGUAGCGGUGAAAUGCGUAGAUAUUAGGAGGAACACCAGUGGCGAAAGCGGCUUUCUGGACUGUAACUGACGCUGACGCUCGAAAGCCAGGGGAGCGAACGGGAUUAGAUACCCCGGUAGUCCUGGCCGUAAACGAUGAAUGCUAGGUGUAGGAGGUAUCGACCCCUCCUGUGCCGGAGUUAACGCAAUAAGCAUUCCGCCUGGGGAGUACGGCCGCAAGGCUGAACUCAAAGGAAUUGACGGGGGCCCGCACAAGCGGUGGAGUAUGUGGUUUAAUUCGACGCAACGCGAAGAACCUUACCAGGGCUUGACAUCGAGUGAACGGCAAGAAGAUGUCCUCCUUCUCUUCGGGAGAACCGAAGACAGGUGGUGCAUGCUGUCGUCAGCUCGUGUCUGAGAUGUGGGUAGUCGGCACGAGCGCACUCCUAUUCUGGUGCCAGCCGCAGUGGAACUCAGAAAGACUGCCGACAUGAGAAGCUAGAUGACGUCAGUCAUCAUGUCCUUAGGUUCUGUGGCUACACACCGG
RNAcentral lists this ribosomal RNA (1274 nucleotides) under uncultured bacterium. RNAcentral's name for it is "bacterial SSU rRNA". It matches the Rfam family "Bacterial small subunit ribosomal RNA", at positions 1 to 1224 of the family's 1533-position model. The record is from RNAcentral.